UACGAAGGGGGCAAGCGUUGUCCGGAUUUACUGGGCGUAAAGAGCGCGCAGGCGGUCGUUCAAGUCGCGUGUGAAAGCCCCCGGCUCAACUGGGGAGGGUCACGCGAUACUGAUCGACUCGAAGGCAGGAGAGGGAAGUGGAAUUCCCGGUGUAGUGGUGAAAUGCGUAGAUAUCGGGAGGAACGCCAGUGGCGAAGGCGACUUCCUGGCCUGUUCUUGACGCUGAGGCGCGAAAGCUAGGGGAGCAAACGGG
RNAcentral lists this ribosomal RNA (253 nucleotides) under uncultured bacterium. RNAcentral describes it as "partial 16S ribosomal RNA". It matches the Rfam family "Bacterial small subunit ribosomal RNA", at positions 524 to 776 of the family's 1533-position model. The record is from RNAcentral.